Molecule: ribosomal RNA, 460 nt
Filed under: uncultured Allobrachymonas sp.
Lineage: Bacteria; Pseudomonadati; Pseudomonadota; Betaproteobacteria; Burkholderiales; Comamonadaceae
Description: bacterial SSU rRNA
Rfam family: Bacterial small subunit ribosomal RNA
Source: RNAcentral
ACCCGCACAAGCGGUGGAUGAUGUGGUUUAAUUCGAUGCAACGCGAAAACCUUACCCACCUUUGACAUGGCAGGAAUCCUGAAGAGAUUUGGGAGUGCUCGAAAGAGAACCUGCACACAGGUGCUGCAUGGCUGUCGUCAGCUCGUGUCGUGAGAUGUCGGGUUAAGUCCCCGCAACGAGCGCAACCCUUGCCAUUAGUUGCUACGAAAGGGCACUCUAAAUGGGACUGCCGGUGACAAACCGGAGGAAGGUGGGGAUGACGUCAAGUCCUCAUGGCCCUUAUAGGUGGGGCUACACACGUCAUACAAUGGCCGGUACAGAGGGUAGCCAACCCGCGAGGGGGAGCCAAUCCCACAAAGCCGGUCGUAGUCCGGAUCGCAGUCUGCAACUCGACUGCGUGAAGUCGGAAUCGCUAGUAAUCGUGGAUCAGCAUGUCACGGUGAAUACGUUCCCGGGUCUU